CUCUUGACAUCCAGAGAACUUUCCAGAGAUGGAUGGGUGCCUUCGGGAACUCUGAGACAGGUGCUGCAUUGGCUGUCGUCAGCUCGUGUUGUGAAAUGUUGGGUUAAGUCCGCAACGAGCGCAACCCCUAUCCUUUGUUGCCAGCGAUUCGGUCGGGAACUCAAAGGAGACUGCCGGCGAUAAACCGGAGGAAGGUGGGGAUGACGUCAAGUCAUCAUGGCCCUUACGAGUAGGGCUACACACGUGCUACAAUGGCGUAUACAAAGAGAAGCGACCUCGCGAGAGCAAGCGGACCUCAUAAAGUACGUCGUAGUCCGGAUUGGAGUCUGCAACUCGACUCCAUGAAGUCGGAAUCGCUAGUAAUCGUAGAUCAGAAUGCUACGGUGAAUACGUUCCCGGGCCUUGUACACACCGCCCGUCACACCAUGGGAGUGGGUUGCAAAAGAAGUAGAUAGCUUAACCUUCGGGAGGGCGUUUACCACUUUGUGAUUCAUGACUGGGGUGAAGUCGUAACAAGGUAGGCGUAGCGAG
Molecule: ribosomal RNA, 531 nt
Filed under: uncultured bacterium
Lineage: Bacteria
Description: bacterial SSU rRNA
Rfam family: Bacterial small subunit ribosomal RNA
Source: RNAcentral